Molecule: long non-coding RNA, 875 nt
Organism: Vombatus ursinus (common wombat)
Lineage: Eukaryota; Metazoa; Chordata; Mammalia; Diprotodontia; Vombatidae
Exons: 6
Source: RefSeq, a predicted model, not a curated record
GGAGGAGUACAGAUUCAUUCUCAAAAGACUGAGUUUUGAUGUGUAUAUCUAAUCACAGGAAAUCAUCGCGGGUAAAGAUGACAACUUCUUGAGCCUUGACACCAAGAUUGUCCAAUCGCUCUCUUCUCGUCCAUACUGCAACAAAAACAAGAAGACAUAUUUCAAGAAUGAAAGAUGACAGUGCAGGAAAAGCAUAAAACUAAAUCAUUAUGAAAAAGCCAAGGCAAGAUGAAGAAACAGAGGAUGACAGAGGUUGUGACUUAUCCAAAGAGUUAAGAAAGUACCUGAGGUUCAGGUCCUACUGUCUGCAAGUACAGCACUCUUACCAACUGUGCCACCUAACUUCCUUCGAGAGAGCCAAAGAACCUGCUGACAUCCAUGACGCAAUGCUUCAUUUUGGGCAAAAAUGGAGGCACCAUAAUUGCUAAUUGAGGAGGCAAAACAUCAAUUAGAGCUGUGGAACAGAGGCUCAGAGAGGUUGUAUCUUACUCAUAGUAAUGUGACUAGUAUGGGAAAGAGCUGGGAUUCACACUCUGGGACUUCAAACUUCUAAUCAAUGAUCCUUCUCAGGAGUUAUUCGCUUUUUUGUGUGUUGCGGACCUCUUGGGUAUCUGGUGAAACCUAUGGAUUCCUUCUCAAAAUAAUGUUUUUAAAGGCUUCUCCUAUAUGCCAGGCAUCAAGAUGUGUGCUGGGAAUUUGGAAUUUGAAACAAAAAGUGAAAUAAUCCCUACUCUCAUGGAGCUUAGAUUUGAAUGGUCAACAAGUUACAUAUCUACGUAUACAGAAUAAACAGAAAGAUGAUAUGCAUAUGAUGUCAGGGACCUCACGUAAGUUUACUUUCCAAUUUCAGGAUACUACCCAGAGCUCCCAUACUC